This 215-nucleotide non-coding RNA is filed under the name Stenotrophomonas maltophilia. The record is from RNAcentral. Lineage: Bacteria; Pseudomonadati; Pseudomonadota; Gammaproteobacteria; Lysobacterales; Lysobacteraceae.
CCGAAGGUAUCCAUCCCAGGUUCGGAUGACGGGAUGGAUUUAAACGGGAAUCCGGUGAAGGCGCCUGGCGCGCCCAUUCCGGAGCUGCCCCGCAGCGGUGAAUGGAAACGAAUCCUGCCAACAGCACUGGGCUCACGCCUGGGAAGCGGCGGGUAGUAGGUGGGCUGCGGCCCGUGUCCAUCAGCCCGAAGACCGGCCCCGGCCGGGGGACACGA